UUACACAUGCAAGUCGAACGGCAGCGCGGACUUCGGUCUGGCGGCGAGUGGCGAACGGGUGAGUAAUGCAUCGGAACGUACCUUUCAGUGGGGGAUAACGUAGCGAAAGUUACGCUAAUACCGCAUAUUCUGUGAGCAGGAAAGCAGGGGAUCGCAAGACCUUGCGCUGAUGGAGCGGCCGAUGUCAGAUUAGCUAGUUGGUGGGGUAAAGGCUCACCAAGGCGACGAUCUGUAGCGGGUCUUAGAGGAUGAUCCGCCACACUGGAACUGAGACACGGUCCAGACUCCUACGGGAGGCAGCAGUGGGGAAUUUUGGACAAUGGGCGCAAGCCUGAUCCAGCCAUGCCGCGUGAGUGAAGAAGGCCUUCGGGUUGUAAAGCUCUUUCGGCCGGGAAAAAAUCGCUUGGGUUAAUACCCUGAGUGGAUGAUGGUACCGGAAUAAGAAGCACCGGCUAACUACGUGCCAGCAGCCGCGGUAAUACGUAGGGUGCGAGCGUUAAUCGGAAUUACUGGGCGUAAAGCGUGCGCAGGCGGUUUUGUAAGACAGGCGUGAAAUCCCCGGGCUCAACCU
RNAcentral lists this ribosomal RNA (571 nucleotides) under uncultured Dechloromonas sp. Its description in RNAcentral is "bacterial SSU rRNA". It matches the Rfam family "Bacterial small subunit ribosomal RNA", at positions 49 to 615 of the family's 1533-position model. Lineage: Bacteria; Pseudomonadati; Pseudomonadota; Betaproteobacteria; Rhodocyclales; Azonexaceae. The record is from RNAcentral.